RNAcentral lists this long non-coding RNA (397 nucleotides) under Crocodylus porosus (Australian saltwater crocodile). RNAcentral's name for it is "lncRNA (ENSCPRG00005009210.1)". Lineage: Eukaryota; Metazoa; Chordata; Crocodylia; Crocodylidae. The record is from RNAcentral.
AUGAAAAAGGAACUUCAGACAGAUGCCUUUGAUACUGUGCCCCUCUUGCACCUAAGAGUCAGUUUCCAGGAUUUAAAUCAUGUCCCUCCUGCAAGACAGUUACUUCUCUUAAUGAUCAACCGUUUCCUCUGCCUCAUUGAACACCUGCACCAGCAUAUGGUUCCCGGACACAUGGAAGGCUGAUUCUUCUCUCAUGUAUAUUUGUGUAAGUCAAUGAAAUUACAUUAGUUUGAAAUCAGUGGAAGCAAGAAGAGAAUCCAAGCUCUGGUGCUUUUCUGUCUCUGCACAUGGAACCAGUUGUUCUCGUUUGUUUCUUUCUUGAAUGUUGCUCUUCCUUUGGUUCCAUGAAGUGUUUAGCUGUACGCUGUAAUAAAGCUAGGAGUCCCAGUGCUAAACA